AACUAGAGACCGGCGCACGGGUGCGUAACGCGUAUGCAAUCUACCUUUUACAGGGGAAUAGCCCAGAGAAAUUUGGAUUAAUGCCCCAUAGUAUUAUAGAAUGGCAUCAUUUUAUAAUUAAAGUCACAACGGUAAAAGAUGAGCAUGCGUCCCAUUAGCUAGUUGGUAAGGUAACGGCUUACCAAGGCAACGAUGGGUAGGGGUCCUGAGAGGGAGAUCCCCCACACUGGUACUGAGACACGGACCAGACUCCUACGGGAGGCAGCAGUGAGGAAUAUUGGACAAUGGGCGCAAGCCUGAUCCAGCCAUGCCGCGUGCAGGAUGAAGCAUCUAUGGUGUGUAAACUGCUUUUGUACGAGAAGAAACACUCCUACGUGUAGGAGCUUGACGGUAUCGUAAGAAUAAGGAUCGGCUAACUCCGUGCCAGCAGCCGCGGUAAUACGGAGGAUCCAAGCGUUAUCCGGAAUCAUUGGGUUUAAAGGGUCCGUAGGCGGUCUUAUAAGUCAGUGGUGAAAUCUCCCCGCUCAACGGGGAAACGGCCAUUGAUACUGUAGGACUUGAAUUAUUAGGAAGUAACUAGAAUAUGUAGUGUAGCGGUGAAAUGCUUAGAGAUUACAUGGAAUACCAAUUGCGAAGGCAGGUUACUACUAAUGGAUUGACGCUGAUGGACGAAAGCGUGGGUAGCGAACAGGAUUAGAUACCCUGGUAGUCCACGCCGUAAACGAUGGAUACUAGCUGUUGGGAGCAAUCUCAGUGGCUAAGCGAAAGUGAUAAGUAUCCCACCUGGGGAGUACGUUCGCAAGAAUGAAACUCAAGGAAUUGACGGGGGCCCGCACAAGCGGUGGAGCAUGUGGUUUAAUUCGAUGAUACGCGAGGAACCUUACCAAGGCUAAAUGUAGAUUGACCGGGUUUGUAAAAAGACUUUUCUGCAAGACAAUUACAAGUGCCU
Molecule: ribosomal RNA, 949 nt
Filed under: uncultured bacterium
Lineage: Bacteria
Description: bacterial SSU rRNA
Rfam family: Bacterial small subunit ribosomal RNA
Source: RNAcentral